This 241-nucleotide unclassified non-coding RNA is filed under the name plant metagenome. RNAcentral's name for it is "partial contains small subunit ribosomal RNA, internal transcribed spacer 1, and 5.8S ribosomal RNA". The record is from RNAcentral.
UUUCCGUAGGUGUACCUGCGGAAGGAUCAUUAUUGAAUGAAACACUUCUGGCUUUAUGCUGUUGUGCUGGCCCUUUGGGCAAUGUGCACACGGCUCUGGUCACUUGUUUCUUCUGUUCCACCUGUGCACUGCCUGUAGACACGCUGUGUCUAUGAUAUUUGUUAACACACAACAAUGUUAGUUGGCAUGUUAUAUAUAAUAAUAAAAUAUACAACUUUCAACAACGGAUCUCUUGGCUCUC